Molecule: ribosomal RNA, 1654 nt
Filed under: Bacillus cereus
Lineage: Bacteria; Bacillati; Bacillota; Bacilli; Caryophanales; Bacillaceae
Also listed under: 5 other names
Description: partial 23S ribosomal RNA
Rfam family: Bacterial large subunit ribosomal RNA
Source: RNAcentral
AAGGACUGGUGGAGUGCUUAGAAGUGAGAAUGCCGGUAUGAGUAGCGAAAGACGGGUGAGAAUCCCGUCCACCGAAUGCCUAAGGUUUCCUGAGGAAGGCUCGUCCGCUCAGGGUUAGUCAGGACCUAAGCCGAGGCCGACAGGCGUAGGCGAUGGACAACAGGUUGAUAUUCCUGUACCACCUCUUUAUCGUUUGAGCAAUGGAGGGACGCAGAAGGAUAGAAGAAGCGUGCGAUUGGUUGUGCACGUCCAAGCAGUUAGGCUGAUAAGUAGGCAAAUCCGCUUAUCGUGAAGGCUGAGCUGUGAUGGGGAAGCUCCUUAUGGAGCGAAGUCUUUGAUUCCCCGCUGCCAAGAAAAGCUUCUAGCGAGAUAAAAGGUGCCUGUACCGCAAACCGACACAGGUAGGCGAGGAGAGAAUCCUAAGGUGUGCGAGAGAACUCUGGUUAAGGAACUCGGCAAAAUGACCCCGUAACUUCGGGAGAAGGGGUGCUUUCUUAACGGAAAGCCGCAGUGAAUAGGCCCAAGCGACUGUUUAGCAAAAACACAGCUCUCUGCGAAGCCGUAAGGCGAAGUAUAGGGGGUGACACCUGCCCGGUGCUGGAAGGUUAAGGAGAGGGGUUAGCGUAAGCGAAGCUCUGAACUGAAGCCCCAGUAAACGGCGGCCGUAACUAUAACGGUCCUAAGGUAGCGAAAUUCCUUGUCGGGUAAGUUCCGACCCGCACGAAAGGUGUAACGAUUUGGGCACUGUCUCAACCAGAGACUCGGUGAAAUUAUAGUACCUGUGAAGAUGCAGGUUACCCGCGACAGGACGGAAAGACCCCGUGGAGCUUUACUGUAGCCUGAUAUUGAAUUUUGGUACAGUUUGUACAGGAUAGGCGGGAGCCAUUGAAACCGGAGCGCUAGCUUCGGUGGAGGCGCUGGUGGGAUACCGCCCUGACUGUAUUGAAAUUCUAACCUACGGGUCUUAUCGACCCGGGAGACAGUGUCAGGUGGGCAGUUUGACUGGGGCGGUCGCCUCCUAAAGUGUAACGGAGGCGCCCAAAGGUUCCCUCAGAAUGGUUGGAAAUCAUUCGUAGAGUGCAAAGGCAUAAGGGAGCUUGACUGCGAGACCUACAAGUCGAGCAGGGACGAAAGUCGGGCUUAGUGAUCCGGUGGUUCCGCAUGGAAGGGCCAUCGCUCAACGGAUAAAAGCUACCCCGGGGAUAACAGGCUUAUCUCCCCCAAGAGUCCACAUCGACGGGGAGGUUUGGCACCUCGAUGUCGGCUCAUCGCAUCCUGGGGCUGUAGUCGGUCCCAAGGGUUGGGCUGUUCGCCCAUUAAAGCGGUACGCGAGCUGGGUUCAGAACGUCGUGAGACAGUUCGGUCCCUAUCCGUCGUGGGCGUAGGAAAUUUGAGAGGAGCUGUCCUUAGUACGAGAGGACCGGGAUGGACGCACCGCUGGUGUACCAGUUGUUCUGCCAAGGGCAUAGCUGGGUAGCUAUGUGCGGAAGGGAUAAGUGCUGAAAGCAUCUAAGCAUGAAGCCCCCCUCAAGAUGAGAUUUCCCAUAGCGUAAGCUAGUAAGAUCCCUGAAAGAUGAUCAGGUUGAUAGGUUCGAGGUGGAAGCAUGGUGACAUGUGGAGCUGACGAAUACUAAUAGAUCGAGGACUUAACCAU